Molecule: ribosomal RNA, 484 nt
Filed under: uncultured bacterium
Lineage: Bacteria
Description: partial 16S ribosomal RNA
Rfam family: Bacterial small subunit ribosomal RNA
Source: RNAcentral
AUUGAACGCUGGCGGCAGGCCUAACACAUGCAAGUCGAGCGGAUGAAGGGAGCUUGCUCCUGGAUUCAGCGGCGGACGGGUGAGUAAUGCCUAGGAAUCUGCCUGGUAGUGGGGGAUAACGUCCGGAAACGGGCGCUCAUACCGCAUACGUCCUGAGGGAGAAAGUGGGGGAUCUUCGGACCUCACGCUAUCAGAUGAGCCUAGGUCGGAUUAGCUAGUUGGUGGGGUAAAGGCCUACCAAGGCGACGAUCCGUAACUGGUCUGAGAGGAUGAUCAGUCACACUGGAAGUGAGACACGGUCCAGACUCCUAAGGGAGGCAGCAGUGGGGAAUAUUAGACAAUGGGCGAAAGCCUGGUCCAGCCAUGCCGAGUGUGUGAAGAAGGUCUUCGGAUUGUAAAGCACUUUAAGUUGGGAGGAAGGGCAGUAAGUUAAUACCUUGCUGUUUUGACGUUACCAACAGAAUAAGCACCGGCUAACUUCGUG